Molecule: long non-coding RNA, 4222 nt
Filed under: Homo sapiens (human)
Lineage: Eukaryota; Metazoa; Chordata; Mammalia; Primates; Hominidae
Description: HSALNT0309595
Source: RNAcentral
UUCCGAAGAGCAGAGCUUUCUAGACUAGGUCACUGUGCUAUUCUCCUCAUGAUACAGGUUAACACAAGAGUUGAAUAUAGACUCUCAUUAGAAAAUAUGUAACAUUUCAAAUGCUACAAUUAAACACAGUACAAAUCUGUUCAAAAGGCCAGGAGAUGAUUAACUUUCUCUCUCACUUAUUCUCAAGCUGGAUGCAAAUCAGCGUCUUCCAAGACGAGGCAAGUGAAUAUCCCAGUAAAUUGGCAAUACAAUUUAGAUGGCAGGCAAGGAUCUCAAAGAUAAAUGACUUAAACAAAGAAGGGAAAGAUGAACCUGUCACUUCUUCUCAACUCAUCAAGCUGUCUCGCAGAGAAAGUUGAUGAUCCUGGAGCAGAAAUGUUUCUGCCAUCCCCUGAAGGUGAAGGCUCACCCGGCAAUUCUUCAAUCUGCACGUGAGGCUCCUCAACACUCUUCCACGCCAGGCAAAGCUACGGGACUUCCCUCUUCCAUCCACGUUUUUUUUAAAAGGCCCAAAUUUGGGGUUACAAAGUAAACUAACACAAUUUGUCAGUGGAAUGAAAGAAAGACCUAAGAUAAGUGCAGAUAAACAUGGUGGUAUCAAAGGAAUACGAUAAACUAUGAAGACAGAAUACAGAAAAAGUGACUGGCAAAGGAUUUUAAAACAUACAAAGAGAAAAAGGUACCACCAACAACAUGAUAGCGUGCCAGACUGAUUAUGCCAAAUUAUUCCAGCUAAAGAAACUACACAAAAUUUUAAAGAAAAAUGGAUUAUGCUAAAUUAUUCCAGCUAAAGAAACUAUACAAAAUUUUAAAGAAAAAUAGAUUAUGCUAAAUUAUUCCAGGUAAGAAACUACACAAAAUUAUAAAGAAAAAAAGAUGAGAAGAUCAAGAUAAAUGAGGAACAGGAGACGCAAGAGUUCUAAAGAAGGGAAAAUGUAAGACGUAAAGGCCAAAAGUCGAUUUUGAAAUCAGGAACCUUGAGACAGAUCCAGUUAAGUGCAAUAAUUGGUUUUCUUUUUAAAAAAUUAACACAGUUUGAUUAAUAUAGGCUUAACAACUUAUCAGGUCUAAUUUGCUUCCUAUUUUUAGAUAUGAACACCAACAGAAGAAGGAGUUUAGAAACUUCUGUAAUCUUUCCAUUUCUCACAGGCACACUCUCCUUCGGAUAGCUUCUCACUUUUAAGAAAAAUGGAUGUAUCUACCACAACUGAAGCUGUUUUCCUAUUUCCAGAAAUAAUUAUCCUUACAACAAUCUACAUAAAAAAGACAUUUUCUUCUUAAAGUGGGGGAGAGAAGAUGUCUUGGUUGGAACCUGAGAGAAUUAUUCGUCUCCUCCCUGCUCUGUUAAUAAUGAGCCAGCAGCGGUGGCCCUGUGCACGGGAAGAAGUGACAGUGACACACAGGUUGAAUUAUACAAUGUAUUGUGAUGCAAUUAGGAAGAAGGAUGAGAUGACAAAACAGAUUUCCACUUGGUCUUCAACAGGGCUUUGUGCAUUAAGUCAUUGUAAUACUCUCCCCAGCACCCAUCCAUUAUUAUUACUUAACCAGCAUUACCUCCCAGAAACCUACCUUUUCUGAUACGUGAAGUUCCUCUGGGGAAGUUUUGCCCUUUGUGAUGUUAUAGUAACAUUACCCACAAACUUAGGAGAUGCAUGAUGAAUUUGAGGGUCCACAUAAACAUUUUUAAAACGAUCUAAAUUCUAUAUGAUUAACAUAUAAACCAGGUAAAUUUUUUUUGCAUAGGCCAUGGCUACUGAAGAGUUAAGUAUAUAGCAGAGAGAAACUUUUCAUGGUUUUUUUUUUUUUUUUUUGCUUUAAUAAGAAAUUAAGUUUAUCAAUUGCCAUUGUAAUCGCUCACAGCACCUCAGGUAAUUAAAAGGGAUCUAAACCUAAUUUUAUUUACAUUUAGAAUACCUGAGGCCAUCUCCGAUCAAGAUUUCACAUUUGUGACUAAUAAUGUUAAGUGUUAAUUAGAGUUCAGCAGAGAAUACUGAUUGAUUUUGAAUCUGUAAUCUGCUGUGAUUUAGGAAUAGUGAGGAAGUCAAAGUAUUCUUUUCUGUUACCGCAGUUUCUAUGCAUUAGUGAAAUUCUUCAAAGAAUCAUGUAUGCCUUUUAAUUCUGGCAGGAUUCAUUUUUGUAAAAAUUGUGGCUCCUCAUUAUACUGUACACUUCUACUUGUGAGAAAGCACAUCACAUUAAAUUAGGUUUAUCUGGACCCAUCUUAAUGUACGAGACCUACAAUGACAUUUUUAAUGUAGUAACAAUUUUUUUGAUUUCCCCCUAUAUUUUAUUAACACAUUUUUUAAGCAUACAAAAAAAAUUUGAAAGCGAACACCUCCUUCCACUCCGGCUACAUUUUAUAAUUGUAACAUGUUGCUACAUACUUGCUUUAUUAUAUAUCUAUCCACCCAUCCAUCCGUCCGUCCAUCCGUCCGUCCGUCCGUCCAUUUCAUUUUCUGAUGCAAUUCAACUACGGUGCAGGCAUCAGUUCACUCCCACACAUUUCAACAUGCACGUGAUUAACUAUUAGGUUCUUUUUUUGAGAUUAAAUGUACAUACUGUGAAAUGCAAAACAUCUUAGUUGUACCGGUCCAUGAAUGUUGACAGAUGCCGUGUAACCCAAGCCACGAUGAAAAUAUCCCCCUGAGGAGUUCCUCUGGGCCACCCCCAACCCCAACCAAUCCCUCCUUCUCACUUCCUGGCAACCAUUCUUCCGAUUUCUUUCAUCACCAAUCAGUUUGCCCGUUGUAGAACUUCAUAUAAAUGGAAUCAUUCUUUUCUGUGCGUGCCUCUUUCCACAGAGCAUAAUGUUUUGUGGGUACGUCCAUAAAAACAAGUUUUCAAACCACAUCUCUGGCAUAACAAGAUACUAGAAUCCUGUGAUGACAGGGACGUCACAAGGUCUUUUUCUCUCCACAGUGACACACAGCAGUCCGUCCUCUGCUUCCUAACAGGACUCUAUGAGAACAUGGUGAUGUCCUACCACAAAGAAAGCAACACCUGAUUAUCAAUAACUUCUCUGGUCCGGCCAAGGAUGAGCAAGGAACAAAGAGCUUUUAGAACAUUAAGCAUACAUCUAAAUUUAUUUGACCUGAGGAUCCAGCCUGGCCUCUCAAGAGCAGACGCUCACAUGAUAAAACGUGCUGGGAACUCACCAUGUACUCAGCAAAGGGAAGCAAAGGGGUAUUAAUCAAUGUUUUGAUUAAUUACACGUACAUAGAAUUUAAGACAAAGUAAAGGCUCUUCCAUCCCCGCAAGUCCCCAGAGAAAAUUUAUAACAGCAAAGUAUCAUCAUUACUAAAUUAGAGCGUGACCAGGUAUGUACUGGGGUUAACACUUAACUCGGGGCGGGGUGGGAGGAAGGACUAUGACACUUCUCAGUGGCCGUGAAUUAUUAAGGCUUUAUCUCCUGGCAGACAGAGAAAUCUAGGCUGACAAUAACAGAGCAAAGUACAUUUAUUUUUCUUUUUUGUCUUUAAGAAAUAGGUUCAGAAGGUAGGAAAAUAAAUGUUGUUUAAAAAGCUUUCUAUGGUAACUCGUCCUGGAAAGGACGUCAUUACACCUAUGAUUUAAGAGGACAGCUUUUUAUGCUUCCGCUAAUACAACUCACUUUUGGCUGGCACAAAAUGAUCUCACAGGAAUUCUUUCAGUCAUCAGGGCACCAAACACAGGCUAUACCGAUGCAAACCUCCUUUCGUUGAGGGUGACACACCCCAUGACAAAAUCCUGUGCCAAAGAGUGUGCUACAGUCUGGGACAGGAAUCCCAAAUUGGUUACUGCUCAUCACUGGUUGGUUCCUGGACACCUGCAGGACCUGUGGGCUCUGUCCCCACUCACCUUCUCUGUUCCCCAGCUGGCUGCAGGCAGACAGGACAAUCUCCGAUGCCCCUUCUGUUCACCCAGUCCUUUUGCUUUGUCACUACUCCUGGAGCUUUCUCUCAAACUUUCCCAGAAUUUACAGGGGAAUCUCUUCCAUAAAAAAAAAUAAAUUUGGCUCUCAGAAGGGAGCUCCAGCUUUCCCCAAACUGACAUUUUGGCACCAGAGAGGGGUGGUGGCUUCGUUUUUGUAGCCUGGUGACAAGCACAGGAGGUGAAUGAAUGGGCGAGUGAAUGCAGGCGCCAAUCACUCAGAUCAACCCACCGCAGAGAUCUCGCUCAUCUGAAUUCUCUUUCACAAGAUAAAAAGGUUAGUAAUUACUUUAGGACUGCAUCUGUUUUCUAC